AUUGAACGCUGGCGGCAUGCCUUACACAUGCAAGUCGAACGGUAACAGGUUAAGCUGACGAGUGGCGAACGGGUGAGUAAUGUAUCGGAACGUGCCCAGUCGUGGGGGAUAACUGCGCGAAAGAGCAGCUAAUACCGCAUACGACCUGAGGGUGAAAGCGGGGGAUCGCAAGACCGCGCGCGAGUGGAGCGGCGGAUAUCAGAUUAGGUAGUUGGUGAGGUAAAGGCUCACCAAGCCGGCGAUCUGUAGCUGGUCUGAUAGGACGACCAGCCACACUGGGACUGAGACACGGCCCAGACUCCUACGGGAGGCAGCAGUGGGGAAUUUUGGACAAUGGGCGCAAGCCUGAUCCAGCCAUGCCGCGUGCGGGAAGAAGGCCUUCGGGUUGUAAACCGCUUUUGUCAGGGAAGAAAAGGUUCUGGCUAAUACCUGGGACUCAUGACGGUACCUGAAGAAUAAGCACCGGCUAACUACGUGCCAGCAGCCGCCGUAA
RNAcentral lists this ribosomal RNA (493 nucleotides) under uncultured bacterium. Its description in RNAcentral is "partial 16S ribosomal RNA". It matches the Rfam family "Bacterial small subunit ribosomal RNA", at positions 29 to 523 of the family's 1533-position model. The record is from RNAcentral.